RNAcentral lists this long non-coding RNA (2217 nucleotides) under Salmo salar (Atlantic salmon). RNAcentral's name for it is "lncRNA (ENSSSAG00000085953.1)". The record is from RNAcentral. Lineage: Eukaryota; Metazoa; Chordata; Actinopteri; Salmoniformes; Salmonidae.
GUCCACUAGGUAAACAACUGUCUCCCAGACAUUUUAUGUCCAGUCCACUAGGUAAACAACUCUCUCCCAGACAUUUUAUGUCCACUAGGUAAACAACUGUCUCCCAGACAUCUUAUGUCCACUAGGUAAACAACUGUACCCCAGAUAUUUUAUGUCCACUAGGUAAACAACUGUCUCCCAGACAUUUUAUGUCCACUAUGUAAACAACUGUCUCCCAGACAUCUUAUGUCCACUAGGUAAACAACUGUCUCCCAGACAUCUUAUGUCCACUAGGUAAACAACUGUCUCCCAGACAUCUUAUGUCCACUAGGUAAACAACUGUCUCCCAGACAUUUUAUGUCCAGUCCACUAGGUAAACAACUGUCUCCCAGACAUUUUAUGUCCACUAUGUAAACAACUGUCUCCCAGACAUCUUAUGUCCACUAGGUAAACAACUCUCUCCCAGACAUUUUAUGUCCACUAGGUAAACAACUGUCUCCCAGACAUUUUAUGUCCACUAUGUAAACAACUGUCUCCCAGACAUCUUAUGUCCACUAGGUAAACAACUGUCUCCCAGACAUCUUAUGUCCACUAGGUAAACAACUGUCUCCUAGACAUCUUAUGUCCACUAGGUAAACAACUGUCUCCCAGACAUCUUAUGUCCACUAGGUAAACAACUGUCUCGCAGACAUCUUAUGUCCACUAGGUAAACAACUGUCACCCAGACAUCUUAUGUCCACUAGGUAAACAACUGACUCCCAGACAUCUUAUGUCCAGUAGGUAAACAACUGUCACCCAGACAUCUUAUGUCCACUAGGUAAACAACUGUCUCCCAGACAUCUUAUGUCCACUAGGUAAACAACUGUCUCCCAGACAUCUUAUGCCCAGUCCACUAGGUAAACAACUGUCUCCCAGACAUCUUAUGUCCACUAGGUAAACAACUGUCUCCCAGACAUCUUAUGUCCAGUCCACUAGGUAAACAACUGUCUCCCAGACAUCUUAUGUCCACUUGGUAAACAACUGACUCCCAGACAUCUUAUGUCCACUAGGUAAACAACUGUCUCCCAGACAUCUUAUGUCCACUAUGUAAACAACUGUCUCCCAGACAUCUUAUGUCCACUAGUUAAACAACAGUCUCCCAGACAUCUUAUGUCCACUAGGUAAACAACUGUCUCCCAGACAUCUUAUGUCCAGUAGGUAAACAACUGUCUCCCAGACAUUUUAUGUCCACUAGGUAAACAACUGCUCAGAGGUACUUUCCAAGUCAAUACUGAGAAUCUACAAACGCUUUGUUAAAAUUUGUUUAUGAGAGAACUUGUACAAUACUUUCUGUAUUAUCGAACCAUGUAGAAUCAGAUUGAUGAUAUGGGUUGAUAUGUUCUCUGCACAGACAGUAGACAAACCAUGUAGAAUCAGAUUGAUGAUGUGGGUUGAUAUGUUCUCUGCACAGACAGUAGACGAACCAUGUAGAAUCAGAUUGAUGAUGUGGGUUGAUAUGUUCUCUGCACAGACAGUAGAUAAACCAUGUAGAAUCAGAUUGAUGAUGUGGGUUGAUAUGUUCUCUGCACAGACAGUAGAUAAACCAUGUAGAAUCAGAUUGAUGAUUUGGGUUGAUAUGUUCUCUGCACAGACAGUAGACAAACCAUGUAGAAUCAGAUUGAUGAUGUCAGCAGAUAUCGAAUAUGAAGGAGCUCGUCGUUUCUUACCGGCGACCACUUUGCGUCCCAAAUGGCACCCUAUUCCCUAUUUAGUGCACUACUUUAGACCCUAUUCCCUAUUUAGUGCACAACUUUUGACAAUGGUUCACAGGGCUCAAGUCAAAAGAAGUGCUUUAUAAUAGGGAAUAGGGUGCUAUUUGGAAUGGAGACUCUAGCAGAGAGGUCAUUGGGAAAGGUGACAUGUACCUUUAUGACCAAGGGAUUCAAUGGGAAAAUGUAUCUUACUGUAAUUACAUGGUAAUAACUAAAGCCAUGCAUGGUGUAGUUACACAGUUGCACCUCUAAGGGGGCGAUAGAGAGAACUUUUUCUUCACUUCGACCUCUUCCUGUCUGAAGUUAGAUGGAUAUUUGAUCAAAUCGGCGAAAAAUCUGAAAAUGAAUUGGCAUUGAACGAGUUGAGCAAUUUUAAAACUUCUUGAAUUGGACUCAUCUGUAGACAUAGGGUGUGUCCGAAAGUGCACCCUGUUUCCUAUGUAGUGUGUAGUGUACUCUGUUUUGACCAGGGACCACUAUAUAAAAU